Marmota monax (woodchuck) is the source of this 832-nucleotide long non-coding RNA. RefSeq lists it as uncharacterized. The record is from RefSeq and is a predicted model, not a curated record. NCBI's taxonomy places the organism in Eukaryota, Metazoa, Chordata, Mammalia, Rodentia, Sciuridae. The transcript is spliced from 2 exons.
GCAGGUCUCUGCCCAAGAACAGCCGUUUUGCUGUCUACCAACCAGAGCCAACGGAAGUGCCAACUCCUGUGGCCACCGGGACAGCGCGCAGCACACCUCGGGCCAACUGCGAGGACCAGGAGGAGCCUGUGGACCACCACGUCAGACUGAGAGGGGGUGGGUGUCAGACCAGGGUGGAAAGGGGGAGGGCCAUGCCCUGCCCGCCGGCCUCUUCUCAGUUCCACACCAGACACCAGCUCUCAGGCGCGUCACCCGUGAAGAAUCGAUCGAGGCCUGAUGAAGGUCACGAGCCCAUGUGCUCCCUGCUCCAACCCUCAGUUCGACACCCUCCUGUCCAGGACCAAGACCUGUUGUCACUGGGAGGUGAAGACACAUCUGUGGGUGACUAGGUCUAAAGGAUUUAGGCUCAUGUCAGCCCUGGUGCCUGGGAGUGGCGCACAUUGGUUAGGGGUGUGUGUGUGUGUGUGUCUGUGUGUGUCUGUGUGUGUGUGUGUGUGUGUGUGUCUGUGUGUGUGUCUGUGUCUGUGUGUGUGUCUGUGUGUGUGUCUGUGUGUGUGUCUGUGUGUGUGUGUCUGUGUGUGUGUCUGUGUGUGUUUGUGUGUCUGUGUGUGUGUUUGUGUGUGUCUGUGUGUGUGUGUCUGUGUGUGUGUGUGAACACAUAUUAACGUGUAUUAAUAUCAAAAACAUUAACUUGUAUAAGCACUAGGCCUUCUGAAUUCUGCACGUUUUCAUUUUAUUCUGUAACUCUGCGUGCGUCUUGUCCUCCUGUAUCUAUUCUCCUUUGUGCUGCUGUCAAGCUGGCUUUCAUUUAUUAAAUGCUUUAAUUUUUUCA